This 468-nucleotide ribosomal RNA is filed under the name uncultured bacterium. RNAcentral describes it as "partial 16S ribosomal RNA". It matches the Rfam family "Bacterial small subunit ribosomal RNA", at positions 28 to 507 of the family's 1533-position model. The record is from RNAcentral.
GACGAACGCUGGCGGCGUGCUUAACACAUGCAAGUCGAACGGAAAGGCCCUGCUUUUGUGGGGUGCUCGAGUGGCGAACGGGUGAGUAACACGUGAGUAACCUGCCCUUGACUUUGGGAUAACUUCAGGAAACUGGGGCUAAUACCGGCUAGGAGCUCCUGCUGCAUGGUGGGGGUUGGAAAGUUUCGGCGGUUGGGGAUGGACUCCCGGCUUAUCAGCUUGUUGGUGGGGUAGUGGCUUACCAAGGCUUUGACGGGUAGCCGGCCUGAGAGGGUGACCGGCCACAUUGGGACUGAGAGACGGCCCAGACGGCUACGGGAGGCAGCAGUGGGGAAUAUUGCACAAUGGGCGGAGGCCUGAUGCAGCAACGCCGCGUGCGGGAUGACGGCCUUCGAGUUGUAAACCGCUUUCGCCUGUGACGAAGCGUGAGUGACGGUAAUGGGUAAAGAAGCACCGGCUAACUACGUG